Molecule: ribosomal RNA, 1457 nt
Filed under: uncultured organism
Description: SSU rRNA
Rfam family: Bacterial small subunit ribosomal RNA
Source: RNAcentral
UGGCGGCAGGCCUAACACAUGCAAGUCGAGCGGUAGCACAGAGAGCUUGCUCUCGGGUGACGAGCGGCGGACGGGUGAGUAAUGUCUGGGAAACUGCCUGAUGGAGGGGGAUAACUACUGGAAACGGUAGCUAAUACCGCAUAAUGUCGCAAGACCAAAGUGGGGGACCUUCGGGCCUCAUGCCAUCAGAUGUGCCCAGAUGGGAUUAGCUAGUAGGUGGGGUAACGGCUCACCUAGGCGACGAUCCCUAGCUGGUCUGAGAGGAUGACCAGCCACACUGGAACUGAGACACGGUCCAGACUCCUACGGGAGGCAGCAGUGGGGAAUAUUGCACAAUGGGCGCAAGCCUGAUGCAGCCAUGCCGCGUGUGUGAAGAAGGCCUUCGGGUUGUAAAGCACUUUCAGCGGGGAGGAAGGCGGUGAGGUUAAUAACCUCACCGAUUGACGUUACCCGCAGAAGAAGCACCGGCUAACUCCGUGCCAGCAGCCGCGGUAAUACGGAGGGUGCAAGCGUUAAUCGGAAUUACUGGGCGUAAAGCGCACGCAGGCGGUCUGUCAAGUCGGAUGUGAAAUCCCCGGGCUCAACCUGGGAACUGCAUUCGAAACUGGCAGGCUAGAGUCUUGUAGAGGGGGGUAGAAUUCCAGGUGUAGCGGUGAAAUGCGUAGAGAUCUGGAGGAAUACCGGUGGCGAAGGCGGCCCCCUGGACAAAGACUGACGCUCAGGUGCGAAAAGCGUGGGGAGCAAACAGGAUUUAGAUACCCUGGUAGUCCACGCCGUAAACGAUGUCGAUUUGGAGGUUGUGCCCUUGAGGCGUGGCUUCCGGAGCUAACGCGUUAAAUCGACCGCCUGGGGAGUACGGCCGCAAGGUUAAAACUCAAAUGAAUUGACGGGGGCCCGCACAAGCGGUGGAGCAUGUGGUUUAAUUCGAUGCAACGCGAAGAACCUUACCUGGUCUUGACAUCCACAGAACUUUCCAGAGAUGGAUUGGUGCCUUCGGGAACUGUGAGACAGGUGCUGCAUGGCUGUCGUCAGCUCGUGUUGUGAAAUGUUGGGUUAAGUCCCGCAACGAGCGCAACCCUUAUCCUUUGUUGCCAGCGGUUCGGCCGGGAACUCAAAGGAGACUGCCAGUGAUAAACUGGAGGAAGGUGGGGAUGACGUCAAGUCAUCAUGGCCCUUACGACCAGGGCUACACACGUGCUACAAUGGCAUAUACAAAGAGAAGCGACCUCGCGAGAGCAAGCGGACCUCAUAAAGUAUGUCGUAGUCCGGAUUGGAGUCUGCAACUCGACUCCAUGAAGUCGGAAUCGCUAGUAAUCGUAGAUCAGAAUGCUACGGUGAAUACGUUCCCGGGCCUUGUACACACCGCCCGUCACACCAUGGGAGUGGGUUGCAAAAGAAGUAGGUAGCUUAACCUUCGGGAGGGCGCUUACCACUUUGUGAUUCAUGACUGGGGUGAA